CGGCAGGCCUAACACAUGCAAGUCGAGCGGUAGCACAGAGAGCUUGCUCUCGGGUGACGAGCGGCGGACGGGUGAGUAAUGUCUGGGAAACUGCCUGAUGGAGGGGGAUAACUACUGGAAACGGUAGCUAAUACCGCAUAAUGUCGCAAGACCAAAGUGGGGGACCCUCGGGCCUCAUGCCAUCAGAUGUGCCCAGAUGGGAUUAGCUAGUAGGUGGGGUAACGGCUCACCUAGGCGACGAUCCCUAGCUGGUCUGAGAGGAUGACCAGCCACACUGGAACUGAGACACGGUCCAGACUCCUACGGGAGGCAGCAGUGGGGAAUAUUGCACAAUGGGCGCAAGCCUGAUGCAGCCAUGCCGCGUGUGUGAAGAAGGCCUUCGGGUUGUAAAGCACUUUCAGCGGGGAGGAAGGCGUUAAGGUUAAUAACCUUGGCGAUUGACGUUACCCGCAGAAGAAGCACCGGCUAACUCCGUGCCAGCAGCCGCGGUAAUACGGAGGGUGCAAGCGUUAAUCGGAAUUACUGGGCGUAAAGCGCACGCAGGCGGUCUGUCAAGUCGGAUGUGAAAUCCCCGGGCUCAACCUGGGAACUGCAUUCGAAACUGGCAGGCUAGAGUCUUGUAGAGGGGGGUAGAAUUCCAGGUGUAGCGGUGAAAUGCGUAGAGAUCUGGAGGAAUACCGGUGGCGAAGGCGGCCCCCUGGACAAAGACUGACGCUCAGGUGCGAAAGCGUGGGGAGCAAACAGGAUUAGAUACCCUGGUAGUCCACGCCGUAAACGAUGUCGAUUUGGAGGUUGUGCCCUUGAGGCGUGGCUUCCGGAGCUAACGCGUUAAAUCGACCGCCUGGGGAGUACGGCCGCAAGGUUAAAACUCAAAUGAAUUGACGGGGGCCCGCACAAGCGGUGGAGCAUGUGGUUUAAUUCGAUGCAACGCGAAGAACCUUACCUGGUCUUGACAUCCACAGAACUUUCCAGAGAUGGAUUGGUGCCUUCGGGAACUGUGAGACAGGUGCUGCAUGGCUGUCGUCAGCUCGUGUUGUGAAAUGUUGGGUUAAGUCCCGCAACGAGCGCAACCCUUAUCCUUUGUUGCCAGCGGUUCGGCCGGGAACUCAAAGGAGACUGCCAGUGAUAAACUGGAGGAAGGUGGGGAUGACGUCAAGUCAUCAUGGCCCUUACGACCAGGGCUACACACGUGCUACAAUGGCAUAUACAAAGAGAAGCGACCUCGCGAGAGCAAGCGGACCUCAUAAAGUAUGUCGUAGUCCGGAUUGGAGUCUGCAACUCGACUCCAUGAAGUCGGAAUCGCUAGUAAUCGUAGAUCAGAAUGCUACGGUGAAUACGUUCCCGGGCCUUGUACACACCGCCCGUCACACCAUGGGAGUGGGUUGCAAAAGAAGUAGGUAGCUUAACCUUCGGGAGGGCGCUUACCACUUUGUGAUUCAUGACUGGGGUG
Molecule: ribosomal RNA, 1450 nt
Filed under: uncultured organism
Description: SSU rRNA
Rfam family: Bacterial small subunit ribosomal RNA
Source: RNAcentral